UUGAGGACUGCAACUUUAAAAUGGUUUAUUUUUAAUAAAAUCUUAGUGUUUUUUCCCUGUUUUGUCUAUUCUAUCCCCCAAUUAAAAACAAACAAGAAACCAACCAAAUAGAAAGACCUGUCAAGAGACUCGGGCUGCAGCCAGCACUUGAGGCAUGGCUUCUGGCUUCUCUAAGUACUGAGAGGGUCAGGGAGCUUCUGGCUUCCUGAAAGCAAGGUAUCUGAGCUAGUACUAUAUUGUCAGGGCUGGGGUGAAAGAACAAACUAAGGAACUAUGUCAGUUACAGUACAAGAAACAGUAGCCAGUACCCAGAGGACUCAGUUGUGGUCAAGUAAUGUUUACUAUCUGGGUCUCCCAGAACCCCUUGGGGUGUAGCUACAAGGACAUGGCCAGAAAAGGUAACUGACCUUGUGUCUUACCUAUCAGAAUUGUCCUCUUUGAACAACUUGCCAUUGUCCAGAAGUA
RNAcentral lists this long non-coding RNA (465 nucleotides) under Rattus norvegicus (Norway rat). Its description in RNAcentral is "long non-coding RNA NONRATT029645". The record is from RNAcentral. Lineage: Eukaryota; Metazoa; Chordata; Mammalia; Rodentia; Muridae.